AUGAUCAUUGGAAAUGGCUCGACGGCGCUUUUUUGGGAAGAUCGCUGGAUUGGCGGGCAGUCUGUCGGUGAGAUAGCUCCCCUACUCUACCAAUGCAUUCCCAAACGUCGACGCAAGGCCAGGACGGUGGCAGAAGGGCUGGCGGGUAACUCUUGGGCACAUGAUAUACAAGGGGUCCUGGGUCUGCACGAGAUCGGACAAUACCUACUGCUAUGGCAGGCUGUGUGA
This 228-nucleotide ribosomal RNA is filed under the name Triticum aestivum (bread wheat). RNAcentral describes it as "partial small subunit ribosomal RNA". The record is from RNAcentral. Lineage: Eukaryota; Viridiplantae; Streptophyta; Magnoliopsida; Poales; Poaceae.